AAGAGGAUGUCAUUGCUGGAUGGCGCCCAAAGGUCAUGGGUUAAAUUGUAGCUGUAAAAGUAAGGCACUCUGAUAAACUAUAAACUAUACAUCAUACUUUCUUCAGUAAAGCUAGAAUUAUACCACACACAAACAAUUUUCGUAUGAUUACCACUUGUUGCUGCUGAAAUAUCUGGGCAUUUCUUUUGUUGCUAAUAGUUUAUCGGUGAGUAAGACAUUCCAGAAAUGAUGAUGAUUAUGAUAAGAUGUAAGGUUGAUACUUUUCUGGUCAACUGGAAAUAUCGGUUAAUCAGUGGCUUUCUUAGUUGGCAUU
Molecule: small RNA, 313 nt
Filed under: Oryza sativa Japonica Group (Japanese rice)
Lineage: Eukaryota; Viridiplantae; Streptophyta; Magnoliopsida; Poales; Poaceae
Description: misc RNA OsDHAR2
Source: RNAcentral